CACGACUCAUCACUUUUCUAAGAUUUAUCUUAACGAACUUCACUAAAAAGUAACAAGGCUUUUACCAAAAAGAAGGACAACAAGACCCCGACGAACUUAAUAAUAUUUAGCUGGGGCAGCUAAAAAACAAAAACUUCUUACUAAUCCAUACCACGACCCGACAAUUUCGACCAAAGACCCAAGUUACCGCGGGGAUAACAGCAUAAUUAGACCCCAGAGCCCUUAUCUAACGUCUACCAUUUGACCUCGAUGUUGAAUUAAUACAAGCUACAUUUAGCAAAAAAAAUGUAAGCAGGUCUGUUCGACCUUUAAUAAAUUACAUGAUUUGAGUUCAGACCGGUGUAAGCCAGGUCAGUUUAUAUCCUCUUACAACUAAUGUUAGUACGAAAGGACCACACAAAAGUUCACA
RNAcentral lists this ribosomal RNA (409 nucleotides) under Sicarius ornatus. RNAcentral's name for it is "partial 16S ribosomal RNA". The stretch from base 71 to 367 matches the Rfam family "Bacterial large subunit ribosomal RNA", at positions 2074 to 2646 of the family's 2925-position model. Lineage: Eukaryota; Metazoa; Arthropoda; Arachnida; Araneae; Sicariidae. The record is from RNAcentral.